Gasterosteus aculeatus aculeatus (three-spined stickleback) is the source of this 403-nucleotide long non-coding RNA. NCBI's taxonomy places the organism in Eukaryota, Metazoa, Chordata, Actinopteri, Perciformes, Gasterosteidae. The record is from Ensembl.
AGAUCCGAGUAGCACCCACAACGCAGCUGCUGCAGUGUCACGGAAGGAUUGUAGCAUGGAUGCAUUAUGGAUAAAGUAAAAACGUUUGUGUUUCAGCUUCAUAUGAUGUGCAUGCAUUUCGGAGGAGUGCACGUGGGAGACGGAAUGGUGAGAGGACGGGGGGAGAAAACUAAUGGCAGGCCAGGAUCACUGGCUGCUACUCCGACACACUUCACCAGCCACCAGCUGCCCCCCCAACGACACCACCAGCUGGACUUUCCCACUGAGCCCUCUUCAACCCCGGAGGCUUUAUUAUCCCUUUUCUAAACCCGUCACUGGCUGUGUUUUAGUGUUAUGUACAAUGCGUUGGCAUUAUUAUUGCUAAUGCAUAAUGCAUAUAUUUGUUUUUGUUGUUAGACCACCG